RNAcentral lists this ribosomal RNA (471 nucleotides) under uncultured bacterium. Its description in RNAcentral is "SSU rRNA". It matches the Rfam family "Bacterial small subunit ribosomal RNA", at positions 26 to 518 of the family's 1533-position model. The record is from RNAcentral.
AGGACGAACGCUGGCGGCGUGCUUAACACAUGCAAGUCGAGCGGAAAGGCCCUUCGGGGUACUCGAGCGGCGAACGGGUGAGUAACACGUGAGCAACCUGCCCUUAGCUUCGGGAUAGCUCCGGGAAACCGGAAUUAAUACCGGAUAUGACUAUGGCCGACAUCAGCCAUGGUGGAAAGUUUUUCGGCUAGGGAUGGACUCGCGGCCUAUCAGCUAGUUGGUGAGGUAACGGCUCACCAAGGCGACGACGGGUAGCCGGCCUGAGAGGGCGACCGGCCACACUGGGACUGAGACACGGCCCAGACUCCUACGGGAGGCAGCAGUGGGGAAUAUUGCGCAAUGGGCGAAAGCCUGACGCAGCGACGCCGCGUGGGGGAUGAAUGCCUUCGGGUUGUAACCCUUUCAGCAGGGACGAAGCGAAGUGACGGUACCUGCAGAAGAAGCGCCGGCUAACUACGCGCCAGCAGCCGC